UACGUCAGCGGCAGACGGGUGAGUAACGCGUGGGAACAUACCUUUUGGUUCGGAACAACACAGGGAAACUUGUGCUAAUACCGAAUAAGCCCUUACGGGGAAAGAUUUAUCGCCGAAAGAUUGGCCCGCGUCUGAUUAGCUUGUUGGUGAGGUAACGGCUCACCAAGGCGACGAUCAGUAGCUGGUCUGAGAGGAUGAUCAGCCACAUUGGGACUGAGACACGGCCCAA
RNAcentral lists this ribosomal RNA (229 nucleotides) under uncultured bacterium. RNAcentral describes it as "partial 16S ribosomal RNA". It matches the Rfam family "Bacterial small subunit ribosomal RNA", at positions 88 to 334 of the family's 1533-position model. The record is from RNAcentral.